AUGAACGCUGGCGGCGUGCUUAACACAUGCAAGUCGAACGAUGAAGCCCAGCUUGCUGGGCGGAUUAGUGGCGAACGGGUGAGUAACACGUGAGUAACCUGCCCUUGACUCUGGGAUAAGCCCGGGAAACUGGGUCUAAUACCGGAUAGGAGCGCCUGUCGCAUGACGGGUGCUGGAAAGAUCUUUCGGUCAUGGAUGGACUCGCGGCCUAUCAGCUUGUUGGUGAGGUAACGGCUCACCAAGGCGACGACGGGUAGCCGGCCUGAGAGGGUGACCGGCCACACUGGGACUGAGACACGGCCCAGACCCCUACGGGAGGCAGCAGUGGGGAAUAUUGCACAAUGGGCGAAAGCCUGAUGCAGCGACGCCGCGUGAGGGAUGACGGCCUUCGGGUUGUAAACCUCUUUCAGCAGGGAAGAAGCGAAAGUGACGGUACCUGCAGAAGAAGCACCGGCUAACUACGUG
Molecule: ribosomal RNA, 465 nt
Filed under: uncultured bacterium
Lineage: Bacteria
Description: partial 16S ribosomal RNA
Rfam family: Bacterial small subunit ribosomal RNA
Source: RNAcentral